GAAAGCUGCAGGUGCUGAUGUUGGGGGGACAUGCAGACUACCUGCAGCAGAGCC
MicroRNA precursor from Gorilla gorilla gorilla (western lowland gorilla), 54 nucleotides. The record is from Ensembl. NCBI's taxonomy places the organism in Eukaryota, Metazoa, Chordata, Mammalia, Primates, Hominidae.